RNAcentral lists this ribosomal RNA (253 nucleotides) under uncultured bacterium. RNAcentral's name for it is "partial 16S ribosomal RNA". It matches the Rfam family "Bacterial small subunit ribosomal RNA", at positions 524 to 776 of the family's 1533-position model. The record is from RNAcentral.
UACGUAGGGUGCAAGCGUUGUCCGGAAUUAUUGGGCGUAAAGAGCUCGUAGGCGGUUUGUCGCGUCUUCUGUGAAAACCCGAGGCUCAACCUCGGGCCUGCAGUGGGUACGGGCAGACUAGAGUGCGGUAGGGGAGAGUGGAAUUCCUGGUGUAGCGGUGGAAUGCGCAGAUAUCAGGAGGAACACCAAUGGCGAAGGCAGAUCUCUGGGCCGUAACUGACGCUGAGGAGCGAAAGCAUGGGGAGCGAACAGG